RNAcentral lists this long non-coding RNA (306 nucleotides) under Bos taurus (domestic cattle). RNAcentral describes it as "long non-coding RNA NONBTAT001909". The record is from RNAcentral. Lineage: Eukaryota; Metazoa; Chordata; Mammalia; Artiodactyla; Bovidae.
CCUUACAAAAGUCCCCAAACUGUCAGGAUCUGGAUUACCUCACACGUUCUAGAAAAGAGACAAGAUGAGAAGCAAGCUGUGUGAUCUUACAAUAGCACACACCCCCUGCCCUGGCUUUCCAUGCUCUUCCCUCUCACUCUCUAUAGCCACCAGACUAAACCCUCCAAACCUCGGUAUCAGUUGGGUCCCUUAAUCCCCACGGAGGGAAUAUACUAGGGUAACACCCCUUCAGGAUUUCAUGGCAAAGUCUUUCCAAUCAAAGAAAGGAUCACGAGCGGGGAGAAAGAUACUAAGGUCUGCCUAAGG